UCAAAGGUGGCAACUUUAGGG
Molecule: non-coding RNA, 21 nt
Filed under: Arabidopsis thaliana (thale cress)
Lineage: Eukaryota; Viridiplantae; Streptophyta; Magnoliopsida; Brassicales; Brassicaceae
Source: RNAcentral